This 227-nucleotide ribosomal RNA is filed under the name uncultured bacterium. Its description in RNAcentral is "partial 16S ribosomal RNA". It matches the Rfam family "Bacterial small subunit ribosomal RNA", at positions 15 to 241 of the family's 1533-position model. The record is from RNAcentral.
GAUCAUGGCUCAGAGUGAACGCUGGCGGCGUGCCUAAUACAUGCAAGUCGAACGGACAAGUAAGAGCUUGCUCUUAUGAGUUAGUGGCGCACGGGUGAGUAAUGUAUAGCUAAUCUGCCCUACACUAGAGGACAACAGUUGGAAACGACUGCUAAUACUCUAUACUCCUGUCUGACAUAAGUUAGAUAGGGAAAGUUUUUUCGGUGUAGGAUGAGGCUAUAUUGUAU